RNAcentral lists this ribosomal RNA (460 nucleotides) under Capnocytophaga gingivalis. RNAcentral's name for it is "bacterial SSU rRNA". It matches the Rfam family "Bacterial small subunit ribosomal RNA", at positions 28 to 492 of the family's 1533-position model. The record is from RNAcentral. Lineage: Bacteria; Pseudomonadati; Bacteroidota; Flavobacteriia; Flavobacteriales; Flavobacteriaceae.
GAUGAACGCUAGCGGCAGGCCUAACACAUGCAAGUCGAGGGAGAAGCCUUUCGGGGCAGAAACCGGCGCACGGGUGCGUAACGCGUAUGCAACCUACCUUUCACAGGGGGAUAGCCCGAAGAAAUUUGGAUUAAUACCCCAUAAUAUUGUUGGAUGGCAUCAUUGGACAAUUAAAACUGCGGUGGUGAAAGAUGGGCAUGCGUCCCAUUAGCUAGUUGGAGUGGUAACGGCACCCCAAGGCUACGAUAGGUAGGGGUCCUGAGAGGGAGAUCCCCCACACUGGUACUGAGACAGGGACCAGACUCCUACGGGAGGCAGCAGUGAGGAAUAUUGGUCAAUGGUCGGAAGACUGAACCAGCCAUGCCGCGUGCAGGAAGAAUGCCUUAUGGGUUGUAAACUGCUUUUAUAUGGGAAGAAUAAGGUGUACGUGUACAUUGAUGACGGUACCAUAUAAUAAGCU